GUAGUACUCCCUCCGACCCAUAUUACCUGCCGCUUAAACGGAUGUAUGUAGACGUAUUUCAGUGCUAGAUACAUCCGUUUGAGCGACAAGUAAUAUGGAUCGGAGGGAGUAUUAA
Non-coding RNA from Hordeum vulgare subsp. vulgare (domesticated barley), 115 nucleotides. The record is from Rfam. Lineage: Eukaryota; Viridiplantae; Streptophyta; Magnoliopsida; Poales; Poaceae.